AAAAACCCUAUAAUAAACUGAUUAUCUCUUCUUCUCUCACCCCCAUUGGGUCGCACGAACCUCACUCUCUUCUUCCUUUCUGAUUUUUCAGUUGCCAUAGCUCUUCGCCUCUGUACUCUCUGCUGUUUGCCUCUCAACGCCUGAGCUCUCCGUCUCUGGGCGUCUCUGCUCUCUGCUUCCCCCAUUCCAAUUUGGGUCUCUGCUGCUAUCUCUGCCAUUUGUUCGACUCUGCCUCUCCCCUUGACCUAUUUAUGCUAUUGUUGAUGAUGGUGGCUUACAACUGGUGAUGGCGGAUUGAAGUAGUAUGGUGGCAUACAAUGUUUCUAUACCCAUUGUUGGGUAUUCAAUGUGUCUGGGUCUUGAUCUAAUAGCCAGUCUACCUACGUUUUGGUAUAUCAUCGAAUGGUAGAUGAUGUUGUCUGGAUGAUGGUCUUGAUCAAGAAAGGGUGGCUUUGAUGAUGGUGGUAUUGAUCUACUAGUGGACCUCAAAUACCUUGUACUGCUCAUCUUUGGGCUACCAUGUUUUUUUAAGCAAUAAUGUUCGAAGAAGUUGACGAGCUUGUCAGACUUCCGCUAAAAUAUAAAUCCUUGCGACUCUUAUUUGUAGUAUUUACAAUUAUCAAUAUUUAUUGAUUUGUGUAUUGUAUAAUAUACAUUUUAAAUUUAUAUUAUUUGAAUAUUUUAUGAUAA
Humulus lupulus (European hop) is the source of this 690-nucleotide long non-coding RNA. RefSeq lists it as uncharacterized. The transcript has 4 exons. Lineage: Eukaryota; Viridiplantae; Streptophyta; Magnoliopsida; Rosales; Cannabaceae. The record is from RefSeq and is a predicted model, not a curated record.